RNAcentral lists this unclassified non-coding RNA (512 nucleotides) under uncultured Glomus. RNAcentral's name for it is "SSU rRNA". It matches the Rfam family "Eukaryotic small subunit ribosomal RNA", at positions 569 to 1085 of the family's 1831-position model. Lineage: Eukaryota; Fungi; Glomeromycota; Glomeromycetes; Glomerales; Glomeraceae. The record is from RNAcentral.
AGCAGCCGCGGUAAUUCCAGCUCCAAUAGCGUAUAUUAAAGUUGUUGCAGUUAAAAGCUCGUAGUUGAAUUUCGGGAUCAUCAGGUUGGUCGUGCCUCUGGUAUGUACUGAUCUCGAUGGUUCCUCCUUCUUGAAGAACCGUAAUGCCAUUAAUUUGGUGUUGCGGGGAAACAGGACUGUUACUUUGAAAAAUUAGAGUGUUUAAAGCAGGCAAUCGCUUGAAUACAUUAGCAUGGAAUAAUGAAAUAGGACGUUCGAUCCUAUUUUGUUGGUUUCUAGGAUUGACGUAAUGAUUAAUAGGGAUAGUUGGGGGCAUUAGUAUUCAAUUGUCAGAGGUGAAAUUCUUGGAUUUAUUGAAGACUAACUACUGCGAAAGCAUUUGCCAAGGAUGUUUUCAUUAAUCAAGAACGAAAGUUAGGGAUCGAAGACGAUCAGAUACCGUCGUAGUCUUAACCAUAAACUAUGCCGACUAGGGAUCGGAUGAUGUUAAUUUUUAAUGUACUCAUUCGGCG